CGGCAUGCCUUACACAUGCAAGUCGAACGGCAGCACGGGAGCAAUCCUGGUGGCGAGUGGCGAACGGGUGAGUAAUAUAUCGGAACGUGCCCGGUCGUGGGGGAUAACGUAGCGAAAGCUACGCUAAUACCGCAUACGAUCUACGGAUGAAAGCGGGGGAUCGCAAGACCUCGCGCGAUUGGAGCGGCCGAUAUCAGAUUAGGUAGUUGGUGAGGUAAAGGCUCACCAAGCCGACGAUCUGUAGCUGGUCUGAGAGGACGACCAGCCACACUGGGACUGAGACACGGCCCAGACUCCUACGGGAGGCAGCAGUGGGGAAUUUUGGACAAUGGGCGCAAGCCUGAUCCAGCAAUGCCGCGUGCAGGAUGAAGGCCUUCGGGUUGUAAACUGCUUUGUACGGAACGAAACGGUGAGCUCUAAUACAGUUUGCUAAUGACGGUACCGUAAGAAUAAGCACCGGCUAACUACGUG
RNAcentral lists this ribosomal RNA (471 nucleotides) under uncultured bacterium. RNAcentral's name for it is "bacterial SSU rRNA". It matches the Rfam family "Bacterial small subunit ribosomal RNA", at positions 40 to 507 of the family's 1533-position model. The record is from RNAcentral.